RNAcentral lists this long non-coding RNA (1794 nucleotides) under Helianthus annuus (common sunflower). Lineage: Eukaryota; Viridiplantae; Streptophyta; Magnoliopsida; Asterales; Asteraceae. The record is from RNAcentral.
CCCCCUUCUACCUCAUGAAUCUGCGUCCUCUGGCUCCUUCUUCCCAUUCAACUAAUCUUUUCUCUCUCAUCCAAGCAUCUCAACAUCAUCUGGUAUCCAUUGCCCACAUUUGAAAAAUUAGGAGCCACCAGUGUUCACCGCCUCUACCACGGUUUACGAUUACGAGAAGUGAGCACCGCGAUACGACCACAAUCUGGGCUUUCCGAAUGAAAACAAGUCGUCUGCGAUGCUGCUAAGAUCCAUGGUGUUUCUGAUCUUCAAUUCAAUUCAUCCAAUGAAGGAAUUCUGGAGUGGCGCAUAUAGUAUUAAUUGGUAUGCAUCAAAUCAUACUCGCCUUUUGAUGGUCUUGUCUUCGAUUUCGAUGAUACUUUGAACACUUCAAGCAUUGGAUUCGGUGAUCCCACUGGGCGUAACAUCAACGGUACGAUUUCAUACUUACACAUAAACCAAAUCAUUAGAUGAAAACUAAAUUCUACCGGUUAAUUUGUUUAUUGUUGAUACGAAAUGGGUAAUCUUUAGUUGGGAUCUUUAUAACAAUAUGAGACAUAUUAAGAUAAGAGGCUAAAGCAUAGUGGCUGGAGUGAUGGAGUAUUAGUAAAAGUAAAUCAGAAAAUAAUAUCAUAUUGUAAUUUAUUUGGAAAUUUAUGUCUUUUUUGUGCAUCAAACGAGCUACAAAGAUUGCAUUAUCAAUGUAGACACCAUGUUCAAUUUUCAGUUUUGUUCUUCCAAAAUAAUGUUCAGAAAUCAUAUGUGCUGGCAAUAUUUUUGGUUCAAAAGAUAAAUAUCUAAUUUCAAUAUGGGGAAACAUCACUGAAGAUUACGAAGUUGUAUGCAUUAAAAAUACACGUGGAAAACUUUUGACCCCCUUUGGCCCGUAUCAUUUGUAUCUAAAGUUCUUAAAUUUUCCCCAUUUGACCCGUUACCUAUUUUAAUACAACUCGAACUGACCUGCUCAUAUGUAACUGGGUGGAAAUUGUGAUCCCUAGCUAACCGCAUCUCAGUUUUUCCUUAUGCAUUUGUAGAUUUUCUGUAGCUUAGAAAGGGAUGUGCAUUUGAUGGGUGGAAAGAAGGUGCUUUAACUUUCCACCAACUUACAAAUACGAGCCAAAAUUAUAUAAAUACUAUGGCUAGGAUCCUAAAGUUGGUAGGCGUACUCCCGCAUGGUUGCAUUGAUAGUAAUAGACUAAUAGCUGAUGGGUUCACAUGCUGAAAUACGAUAUCUGUGGAGCCGAAGCCAGUAAAGAAAGGCUCACAGUUUAACCUCGACAACGAUCUAUUUCUCCCUAAAGAAAGGAAAGACAUCAUCGUGUCAACUGUGUGUUGAAGUGCCAUGGCUGCUUAGCAAUAAAGCUACAACAAUUAUGGCAUCCCUUAUUGGGCCAGUUAAAAAAAUUAUCUUCUUUAAAAAAUUAUGGCAUCCCUUAUUGUGAUAAGAUGAUAUUGCAAGUCAUAUGUGAUGAAAUAGUUAACUCGAGAUAGCCACAUACAUAAAGAAAGUGACGUGACGUAUAGUUUGGAUCUCUAUAGCGGGAUCACGGGUUGUUCAUACACAACGGGAUUACAAACAGUAGUUAUUAAGCAUUGUAUAUCUAGAGUUGUGACGGAUUUAUUUACGAGACUGACAUGAUAUGUGGAUGGAACAGAUGAAGAAUUUAGAAAGCACAGUUGAGAGAGUGAAGGGGUUGCUAGAAGCAAGGAUAAAAAGGAAGACGGACACACGUGAGAGCAAAGGGUUUAGAGGGUUGUAAGCUAUAACAUUCUGCUUUAUAUAUUUGAUUAAUUUAAGUGUUGGCU